GCUCCUAUCAUCUAGUGGUUCAAGACAUCUCUCUUUCAAGGAGGCAACGAGAAUUUGAAUUCCCUUAAGAGUA
Molecule: non-coding RNA, 73 nt
Organism: Gossypium hirsutum (cotton)
Lineage: Eukaryota; Viridiplantae; Streptophyta; Magnoliopsida; Malvales; Malvaceae
Source: Rfam